UAUAGGAAGAAAUUUCUUACUAAGAUACAGGAAUAAAAGCAUCAUGACCUUUUGUGGUGUAGUUGGGUCCAUGGUUGGCAAGUCAUACCUCAUCUAUUCCAUGUAUCUGUUGUGUACUUGUCAUCAUCAUCUUCUUCUUCUUCUCCUUCUUUCUUGACGUCGAUUCCUAGACCUCUUCCAUUAUAUUGGUACUGAACAUAGCCUUGGAAUUAUAUGAUUGCUAUUGCUACGUCCUUUUCUUAGAUCCAUGAGACAUUUGCUUAAGAAAAGUACAUUUGCCUAGUCCACUUUAUAUAAAAACGAAAGCAUAUAUAAGUGAAAAUCCUUAGGGUGUCAAGUACAUGGGUUCUUACGCUGGUAGAAUCUCGGCUCUGCAUUGACUCUAAGAUGAUCAGUGAUCUCUUUUGUGCAAAUGUCCCCUAUCUUACGACAAUCCAUCCUGCUUUUCUAAUAACAAUUGCAAAAAAAAGAAGAAGAAAAAGAAAUUAAAUUCAUGAAAAUUCAACAUAAUCAGCACAUGCAUAUCUGAACUCAUGCUGCAGGGAGAAAAGUAAAAACAAAGCAUCGUAAAUAAAAAAGAGGGAUUAGAACAUGUCAUUUUGCACUAAAACAAAAGAUAAUUUGAUAUAAGAUAAUUACAUAAACACUGCCACUUGGUUUCAGGAUUUUAAGAUCACAAUGCAAUUAAUUUGCAUUCCUGAUAAAUCUCAAAUACCUUCAAUACAUAAGCAUUUACAAAUUUGUAUUGUAGGGGCAGAAGAAAGAAAAUGAAGAAAGGUACAACUGCAUGCGCUCUAAUUGAAACGUUAAAAAAAAAAACGAAUUUUCAGCAACCGGAGGCCAAUUGGAAUUUAAAAUGGGAAUAAAAUAAUAUAAAAACAGAAGAAAUAAGUCGACCUAAAAUAUCGAAAAAUCCAGUAAAUAAGAAAGUCCCAGUGUUCUCUGCAUUCAUCAGGACAAGCAAAUGAAUAACCGAAAUCGAAGAAGGAAAAAAAAGGAAAAAAAAAGGAAGCAAACAUAGUCUUCCGAAAAUCCGGGGAAAAAUGGUAGUGGGAGCUGAUUAAGAGAAGGAUGCGGUUUCCAAAACUCUGAAUUUUGGAGAGGAAAAAAAAGAUUUCAAAUUUAACGACAGGGAGAGGACGGAGGUGGGAUUAUUUAUAGAGAGCUUACAAGGAUUUGUGGGACCUUUUGAUCGACGGAGGGUGAGCGCCUGAGACCAACGGUGUUGGCG
RNAcentral lists this long non-coding RNA (1231 nucleotides) under Phoenix dactylifera (date palm). Its description in RNAcentral is "long non-coding RNA (PDAC_LNC000482)". The record is from RNAcentral. Lineage: Eukaryota; Viridiplantae; Streptophyta; Magnoliopsida; Arecales; Arecaceae.